Molecule: ribosomal RNA, 90 nt
Filed under: Pteropus alecto (black flying fox)
Lineage: Eukaryota; Metazoa; Chordata; Mammalia; Chiroptera; Pteropodidae
Source: RNAcentral
GUCUACGGCCAUGCCACCCUGAACAAGCCCGGUUUGGCCUGGUUAGUAUUUGGAUGGGAGAUCACCUAGGAAGACCAGGUGCUGUAGGCA